AUUGAACGCUGGCGGCAUGCCUUACACAUGCAAGUCGAACGGUAACGGGCCUUCGGGUGCCGACGAGUGGCGAACGGGUGAGUAAUGCAUCGGAACGUACCUUUCAGUGGGGGAGUAACGUAGCGAAAGUUACGCUAAUACCGCAUAUUCUGUACGCAGGAAAGCAGGGGAUCGCAAGACCUUGCGCUGAUUGAGCGGCCGAUGUCAGAUUAGCUAGUUGGUGAGGUAAAGGCUCACCAAGGCGACGAUCUGUAGCGGGUCGUGAGAGGAUGAUCCGCCACACUGGAACUGAGACACGGUCCAGACUCCUACGGGAGGCAGCAGU
Molecule: ribosomal RNA, 325 nt
Filed under: uncultured bacterium
Lineage: Bacteria
Description: bacterial SSU rRNA
Rfam family: Bacterial small subunit ribosomal RNA
Source: RNAcentral